GGGAGGCAGAGCUUGCAGUGAGCCAAGAUUGCACCACUACACUCCAGCCUGGGCAGCAGAGUGAGACUUCGUCUCAAAAAUAAAUAAAUACAUACAUAAAAAUAAUCAUAGGCCCGACAGUGGCUGAGUCGAGCCAUGAGCCGAUGCGUUUUGGAGCCUCGGCCCCCGGGGAAGCGGUGGAUGGUGGCUGGCCUGGGGAAUCCCGGACUGCCCGGCACGCGACACAGCGUAGGCAUGGCGGUGCUGGAGCAGCUGGCGCGGCGGCUGGGUGUGGCGGAGAGUUGGACGCGCGACCGGCACUGUGCCGCCGACCUCGCCCUGGCCCCGCUGGGGGAUGCCCAACUGGUCCUGCUCUGGCCACGGCGGCUUAUGAACGCCAACGGGCGCAGCGUGGCCCGGGCUGCGGAGCUGUUUGGGCUGACUGCCGAGGAAGUCUACCUGGUGCAUGAUGAGCUGGACAAGCCCCUGGGGAGACUGGCUCUGAAGCUGGGGGGCAGUGCCAGGGGCCACAAUGGAGUCCGUUCCUGCAUUAGCUGCCUCAACUCCAAUGCAAUGCCAAGGCUGCGGGUGGGCAUCGGGCGCCCGACACACCCUGAGGCGGUACAGGCCCAUGUGCUGGGCUGCUUCUCCCCUGCUGAGCAGGAGCUGCUGCCUCUGUUGCUGGAUCGAGCCACCGACCUGAUCUUGGACCACAUUCGUGAGCGAAGCCAGGGGCCCUCAUUGGGGCCGUGACACCAGUGGCCAUGGCUGCCCGCCUGACUGUAGUACCCACCAACCCAGCCAGGGCCACAGAGCUGCCAUGCCAGCCUUGGUAUCUACUUUUUAUACAACUGUCCUGUAGACUGUUGCAGGCUGCCUGCGGAUUAAAGUGGGGGUGACUGUGACUGGAAAAAAAAAAAAAAAAAAAA
RNA transcript from Rhinopithecus roxellana (golden snub-nosed monkey), 908 nucleotides. It is a transcript of the gene named probable peptidyl-tRNA hydrolase pseudogene, with no coding region annotated. The record is from RefSeq and is a predicted model, not a curated record. NCBI's taxonomy places the organism in Eukaryota, Metazoa, Chordata, Mammalia, Primates, Cercopithecidae. The transcript has a single exon.